CGCAGAGACCAUCACCGCGAACGACGGUGAUGGCAGUUGCAUGGACUGCAGGCCCAGAUGACAACAAGGAUUUGUCUCUCUCAGCAUUCUCAUCUGUAUUCAAGACAAUGCGUUCCAGCCUAGCUCCCUACAAUUUAAUGAACUGCCAAGAUUUGCUUCGUUACCUCAAAGACUGAAGUAGAAAUACAAGGAAGAAGGUUGCCAGAUCUUAGGGUACCCGCUGAAGUCUCAGGGGACUGGCAUUGAUCUUCAGCCAAGGAGGCAAAUCUUGGGCAAGAAAUGCUGGAUGAGGCAAAAGUGAAUCUGAAGUCUUGCCAUCCAUUUCUGCCAUUUCCCAAAUGCCACCAACAGGAAUCAGCCACCAAUGCCAGUGCAAAUUGAUGCUGUUGUCGGAAGUGGACAAGACCAAAGCCUACUGUGACCGCGAGCUGAAGUGAUCAUUAAAACAAACAA
Molecule: non-coding RNA, 453 nt
Organism: Pogona vitticeps (central bearded dragon)
Lineage: Eukaryota; Metazoa; Chordata; Lepidosauria; Squamata; Agamidae
Source: RefSeq, a predicted model, not a curated record